GAUGAGAACGCAGCGAAAUGCGAUAAGUAAUGCGAAUUGCAGAAUUUCCGUGAGUCAUCGAAUCUUUGAACGCACAUUGCGCCCCUUGGUAUUCCAUGGGGCAUGCCUGUUCGAGCGUCAUUUGUACCUUCAAGCUCUGCUUGGUGUUGGGUGUUUGUCUCGCCUCUGCGUGUAGACUCGCCUCAAAACAAUUGGCAGCCGGCGUAUUGAUUUCGGAGCGCAGUACAUCUCGCGCUUUGCACUCAUAACGACGACGUCCAAAAGUACAUUUUUACACUCUUGACCUCGGAUCAGGUAGGGAUACCCGCUGAACUUAAGCAUAUCAAUAAGCGGAGGA
Molecule: unclassified non-coding RNA, 337 nt
Filed under: soil metagenome
Description: partial contains 5.8S ribosomal RNA, internal transcribed spacer 2, and large subunit ribosomal RNA
Rfam family: 5.8S ribosomal RNA (bases 5-120)
Source: RNAcentral